RNAcentral lists this small RNA (125 nucleotides) under Marmota monax (woodchuck). The record is from RNAcentral. Lineage: Eukaryota; Metazoa; Chordata; Mammalia; Rodentia; Sciuridae.
GCUGGGUGCAGUGGUGUUUACCUGUAAUCCCAGCAACUCAGGAGGCUGAGGCAGGAGGAUUGCAAGUUCAAAGCCAGCCUCAGCAAAGGCGAGGCACAAAGCAACUCAGUGAGACCCUGUCUCUA